This 266-nucleotide ribosomal RNA is filed under the name uncultured bacterium. RNAcentral describes it as "partial 16S ribosomal RNA". It matches the Rfam family "Bacterial small subunit ribosomal RNA", at positions 338 to 596 of the family's 1533-position model. The record is from RNAcentral.
CCUACGGGGCGCAGCAGUAGGGAAUCUUCCACAAUGGGCGAAAGCCUGAUGGAGCAACGCCGCGUGGGUGAAGAAGGUCUUCGGAUCGUAAAACCCUGUUGUUAGAGAAGAAAGUGCGUGAGAGUAACUGUUCACGUUUCGACGGUAUCUAACCAGAAAGCCACGGCUAACUACGUGCCAGCAGCCGCGGUAAUACGUAGGUGGCAAGCGUUAUCCGGAUUUAUUGGGCGUAAAGGGCGCGUAGGUGGGCGCUUAAGUCAGGUGUG